This 392-nucleotide ribosomal RNA is filed under the name uncultured bacterium. RNAcentral's name for it is "partial 16S ribosomal RNA". It matches the Rfam family "Bacterial small subunit ribosomal RNA", at positions 523 to 918 of the family's 1533-position model. The record is from RNAcentral.
AUACGGAGGAUGCGAGCGUUAUCCGGAUUUAUUGGGUUUAAAGGGUGCGCAGGCGGCCAUUUAAGUCAGCGGUUAAAUCGUGGGGCUCAACCCCAUUCUGCCGUUGAUACUGGGUGGCUUGAUUGCGGUCGAGGUUGGCGGACUUCGUUGUGUAGCGGUGAAAUGCAUAGAUAUGACGAAGAACACCGAUUGCGUAGGCAGCUGACCAGACCGCAAAUGACGCUCAUGCACGAAAGUGCGGGGAUCGAACAGGAUUAGAUACCCUGGUAGUCCGCACAGUAAACGAUGAAUACUUGUUUUCGGCGAUAUAAUGUCGGAGGCAAAGCGAAAGCGAUAAGUAUUCCACCUGGGGAGUACGCCGGCAACGGUGAAACUCAAAGGAAUUGACGGGG